UACGUAGGGUGCGAGCGUUAAUCGGAAUUACUGGGCGUAAAGUGUGCGCAGGCGGCAGAGCAAGUCGAGUGUGAAAGCCCUGAGCUUAACUUGGGAAUUGCGCUCGAAACUACUUUGCUGGAGUGUGGCAGAGGAAGGUGGAAUUCCACGUGUAGCGGUGAAAUGCGUAGAGAUGUGGAGGAACACCAAUGGCGAAGGCAGCCUUCUGGGCCAACACUGACGCUCAUGCACGAAAGCGUGGGGAGCAAACAGG
Molecule: ribosomal RNA, 253 nt
Filed under: uncultured bacterium
Lineage: Bacteria
Description: partial 16S ribosomal RNA
Rfam family: Bacterial small subunit ribosomal RNA
Source: RNAcentral